RNAcentral lists this ribosomal RNA (253 nucleotides) under uncultured bacterium. RNAcentral's name for it is "partial 16S ribosomal RNA". It matches the Rfam family "Bacterial small subunit ribosomal RNA", at positions 524 to 776 of the family's 1533-position model. The record is from RNAcentral.
UACGGAGGGGGCUAGCGUUGUUCGGAAAUACUGGGCGUAAAGCGUACGUAGGCGGGUCCUUAAGUCGGGGGUGAAAUCCCGGAGCUCAACUCCGGAACUGCCUUCGAUACUGGGGACCUCGAGUCCGGGAGAGGUGAGUGGAACUGCGAGUGUAGAGGUGAAAUUCGUAGAUAUUCGCAAGAACACCAGUGGCGAAGGCGGCUCACUGGCCCGGUACUGACGCUGAGGUGCGAAAGCGUGGGGAGCAAACAGG